Chlorocebus sabaeus (green monkey) is the source of this 1642-nucleotide long non-coding RNA. RefSeq lists it as uncharacterized. Lineage: Eukaryota; Metazoa; Chordata; Mammalia; Primates; Cercopithecidae. The record is from RefSeq and is a predicted model, not a curated record.
CUGAGGUGUGUAUGUGGGUACGUGUUUAAUAGGCUUAAUAAUUAAUGCUUAAUUUAACACUUUAAUAGGUCUAAUUUUCUUUAAAUAAAGGAGGUCUUUCUACAACUCCAAAUACUUGCAAAACACUUAAAAAUUUAUUAGUCAGACAAUUUUGGCAUUAUUCAAGUUGCUUUUGACUGAACAUAACAGAAACCAAUAUGAGCUUGCUUAAGCAAGGAAAAGAAGCUUACUGUGGAUCAGAACACACACUCAGUGAAACAGCUGAAACUCGGGAAUGGAACCUAACACGCAACAGAAGUUCAGCAUCCCUACAUUGCUAGUGUCCCAUCUGAUUCCUACUUUAUUUUAUUGUAAUUUUUGCUCUGCAGACUCUCUUUUGAUUUUUUUACUUCAUGUGUGAAAUAGGGAUUCUCCCACUUUCAGUUCCUGAAUUUACACAAUUUACACAUUACUCGUCUAGUCAUAUGCAGAAACCAAUUAACUAGGUUAUGAAUCUCAAUUCAAUGGACUACCAGAAGAAAUAGAAAUGGCGACUAUAUACAUGAAUAGUGCUCAAUAUUGUUCUUCAUGAAGGGAAUGCGAUUAGAUACCACUUCACACCCACUAAAGUAACUAAAAUGAUGAAGAUCGAUAACACUUUAUGUUGGUGAAUAUGUCCAGCACUUGCAACUUGAAUAUAGUACUAAUGAGAAUAUAGAAUUACUUUGGAAAAUUGGUGAGCUGCUUUGGUCAAUGAAGUAUUUUUUAAAAACAUAACAAUCCAAUUCUAGGUAUUUUCUGUAGAAAAGUGAUGACAUUUGUAUACAUAAAGAUGCAUUUAAGCAUGUUCGUAGCACUCUCUGUUUUCUUUUCACAUAGUGGCCUCAAACUGUAUACAAUCUAGAUACCUGCUGAUAGGAGCAUAAAGAAGCUAUGGUUUGCUCAUUCCACAGAAUGUUGCUCAGCAGCAUGCAGGAAUGACUACUAACAUGUACAGCAACAUCAACAAAUCUCAGGAAUAUUAUGCUGAAUUAAAAAGCCAGACAUGAAAGAAUCAGCAUUAUUUUAUUAUGUGAAGGCCUAGAACAGCAAAGCUAAUCUAUGUUGAUAAAAAUCAUACAGGUGGUUGUGGAUGGCAGGAGGUUGACUGGAAAAAGGCACAAGGAAGUUUUAUGAGAAGAUGGAAAUGUUUAUAUGUUGACUUGCAUCUUAACUACACAGAAACUUGAAAUUAAACCUGAAGACCUUAUUAGACUCAAAUUACAUAUUUUUGGCGAGAAACUUGUAUUGUUCAUGCAAUAAAUUGCCUUUUGUGUUAUAUGAGAAGAUUUGCUGAUUAUUAAUCUACAGUGGAUGAACAUUUAAGAAACUAAGCCUGCUAAAAAUCUAACUGGAGCUUUUGAAAAUCUCCUGGUUCUAAAAGACAAAUCUCAUGGUUUCAGGACCAACACAAGGAAGAAGUUCAUUGGUACAAACCUCACACCAUGGGACCCCUGGAGGACUAUACCUUAGAAGCAGGGAUGAAAGAAAGGCAGACAGAGAUGAGACUGACAGAGGCAGCUAGGUGUGAAAUUGUGGAUUAGGACAAUGGCAAGAAUUUCAGUGUCUUGAAGCUGACUCAGCACAUGGGCAAAUAUCGGGACAUGAAAUGGGACAGGAAGUA